RNAcentral lists this small RNA (29 nucleotides) under Bombyx mori (domestic silkworm). RNAcentral's name for it is "ovarian small RNA-37903". The record is from RNAcentral. Lineage: Eukaryota; Metazoa; Arthropoda; Insecta; Lepidoptera; Bombycidae.
UUGCUCAAAUUUGUAUGCAAUGGGAACAG